RNAcentral lists this ribosomal RNA (518 nucleotides) under Drosophila takahashii. Its description in RNAcentral is "partial 16S ribosomal RNA". The stretch from base 269 to 428 matches the Rfam family "Bacterial large subunit ribosomal RNA", at positions 2473 to 2632 of the family's 2925-position model. The record is from RNAcentral. Lineage: Eukaryota; Metazoa; Arthropoda; Insecta; Diptera; Drosophilidae.
AUGGUUGGACGAAAUAUUAACUGUUUCAUUUAAAUUUUUUAUAGAAUUUUAUUUUUUAGUCAAAAAGCUAAAAUUUAUUUAAAAGACGAGAAGACCCUAUAAAUCUUUAUAUUUUAUUUAUUUUAAUUAUAAAGAUUAAUUUAAUUUUAAUAAAUUAAAAUAUUUUAUUGGGGUGAUAUUAAAAUUUAAAAAACUUUUAAUUUUUAAAAACAUUGAUUUAUGAAUAAUUGAUCCAUUAAUAAUGAUUAAAAAAUUAAGUUACUUUAGGGAUAACAGCGUAAUUUUUUUGGAGAGUUCAUAUCGAUAAAAAAGAUUGCGACCUCGAUGUUGGAUUAAGAUAUAAUUUUGGGUGUAGCCGUUCAAAUUUUAAGUCUGUUCGACUUUUAAAUUCUUACAUGAUCUGAGUUCAAACCGGUGUAAGCCAGGUUGGUUUCUAUCUUUAAAAAAUUAUAAUAUUUUAGUACGAAAGGACCAAAUAUUAAAAUAAUUAUAUUUUAAAAUAUGAAUAUUAUUAAUAU